RNAcentral lists this ribosomal RNA (429 nucleotides) under Acidobacteriota bacterium. RNAcentral's name for it is "Acidobacteria bacterium partial 16S ribosomal RNA". It matches the Rfam family "Bacterial small subunit ribosomal RNA", at positions 355 to 776 of the family's 1533-position model. Lineage: Bacteria; Pseudomonadati; Acidobacteriota. The record is from RNAcentral.
UGGGGAAUUUUGGACAAUGGGGGAAACCCUGAUCCAGCCAUCCCGCGUGUGCGAUGAAGGCCUUCGGGUUGUAAAGCACUUUUGGCAGGAAAGAAACGUCAUGGGUUAAUACCCCGUGAAACUGACGGUACCUGCAGAAUAAGCACCGGCUAACUACGUGCCAGCAGCCGCGGUAAUACGUAGGGUGCAAGCGUUAAUCGGAAUUACUGGGCGUAAAGCGUGCGCAGGCGGUUCGGAAAGAAAGAUGUGAAAUCCCAGAGCUCAACUUUGGAACUGCAUUUUUAACUACCGGGCUAGAGUGUGUCAGAGGGACGUGGAAUUCCGCGUGUAGCAGUGAAAUGCGUAGAUAUGCGGAGGAACACCGAUGGCGAAGGCAGCCUCCUGGGAUAACACUGACGCUCAUGCACGAAAGCGUGGGGAGCAAACAGG